Molecule: transfer RNA, 94 nt
Filed under: Armillaria novae-zelandiae
Lineage: Eukaryota; Fungi; Basidiomycota; Agaricomycetes; Agaricales; Physalacriaceae
Description: tRNA-Gly
Source: RNAcentral
GCAUCAGUGGUGUAAUGGUUAACAUGUGGUCUUCCCAUCAUCAUAGUGAAACUUUCCGGUGGCCGCGUUCGGGGUUUGAUUCCCCGCUGAUGCA